RNAcentral lists this non-coding RNA (84 nucleotides) under Pseudomonas panipatensis. The record is from RNAcentral. Lineage: Bacteria; Pseudomonadati; Pseudomonadota; Gammaproteobacteria; Pseudomonadales; Pseudomonadaceae.
CAGCAUGGUGGAUCGCGCGGGGAGGCCUUCGGGUCUGCCGGUUCCUGUUUCCGGUCUGGCAACGCCGCGCGAUCCGCCGCCCUU